This 1696-nucleotide long non-coding RNA is filed under the name Homo sapiens (human). RNAcentral describes it as "HSALNT0055930". Lineage: Eukaryota; Metazoa; Chordata; Mammalia; Primates; Hominidae. The record is from RNAcentral.
GUUGAAUCCUCGUUGAGACAAAGAAAGUGGCCACAGUUGAAAAUAUUUUACCGAGAACUUUAAAAGUAUUCUCAAGGUUAAAAAUUGCUGUUAUACAUAAUACCUCAGUAAUUGAUAGACAUUUUCUCUCUCCAGAGUCCAUUUUCUGUGAAAAACACCACAUAACAUCUGUUCAUAAACAGUCCUUCUGUGAAAACACUGACACAGGUCUUGAGCUUCCACAGGCUCAAUUCCCCUGCCAUGUGCAGAUGGCAUGAUGUAUUUAUACAGCUGAAGCCUGUGUAACAUAAGCCCGGCCAUAUCUCCAGGUGUUCAGAAUGGGAAUGGCAAUAGAGACGUCCUGGUGGAAUUUGUAGCCUAGGAAGAGAGACAGUCAGUGAACAAGCAAGGAAAUGUGCAGUGAACAUGCAAAUAAUAUCGUAACUGUGAGGGUGCACCUGAGGAACCAUGAACCAUGGAAAGCAGGGGCAAGCAGCCCUGCCAUUUGCAGAGUGAGAGAGAAGCCUUUUAUUUGUCAGCGACAUUUGUGAUGAGACCUGAAAGUGCAGGAGGAAACUAAUGGGUUCCGCCCAAUGUGGGAGGAUGCUCUAGGGAGUAUGCUGGGAGUGUCUCCACGAGACCAACUUGCCAUUCCAUCCCAAGAGUGCCUCACACACAGGAAACACUUAAAUAUUUACUGAAUUGGCUUGAUUUGAAAGAUACACCAUCUAAGUCUUAAAAACUGUAGGACCUAGGCUGACUGAGUUAAAUCUUAUCAGUCUAUAGUUCAUCUUAUUCCUGCCUCUGAAAACUGCCUGCCUGUCAUGAGGUCUAUCUUAGAACCAGAUAAACCAACACACUGGUCUUAAAUUUUGAAGGCUUUCCUCUAGAGAUUGUAGAGACUUGGGAUAGUUUAAAAUGCAUUCUCCAUUUAAAUGGAAUGAAAGCUUAUCUCUUUAUUGUGCCUUGAUGUCAAGUCGGCAAUAAAUAUGGAUAUCAGACUAUGCAAAAUUAUUCCUGAAUUCCUGUCAUUAUACCCAAUCAAAAUUCUAAACACUUUAACUCGAUGUUCAAUGAUCAGUUAGGAUUGUUCACAUACGUGGCUAGCUGUUUAUAAUUCUUCAUGUUUUUCGUCAAUGAAAAUAUUUGGCUUAAUCUCAAAAUCAUCAAAAAGACUAGACGUAGGUUAGUCCAAACCACUCAUUCUUUUUGUAGCAAGUACUUUCCACCAAGAGGAUGCCCACCCAGCUGGAAGGAAGCUGAAAGAGUGAAAGAAUUUUUGCCUUGAUUGAUGCCAGGAAUGACUCUGAGUUAUUUUUUCCCCACUGGAUUGAUCAAAUCAAGCCUUUCUGCCCUUAAAAAUAUAAACAGUACUAUGUCCCUCAGCAUGAUGAGGGCAAUGACAGAUCUACUAUGGAUGAGGAACAUCAGACACUCUCAAAUAACAUCAAAUUUAAGAACCAAGAAAAAAAUAUACUCUGUGAUCAUGAGUGAUAGCGUCGAUUCUGGAGAAGAAAGCCUGGAUAAGGAAGGUCUCUGAUGAACUACGGGACGCAGAAGAGAAUGCCAUGCUCCAGAAAGCCUGAAUCGCACAGAACGAGACGAGAAAACUUCCCUUCCACUUUCAUCCAACCAUAAAACUUAAACUGUUUUACUUUUAAAUUCUCAGUUUCCUGGUUUUAUCUUUUUUUCUUCCUCCCUUUGUAUUAUUUAAAAA